RNAcentral lists this ribosomal RNA (442 nucleotides) under uncultured bacterium. RNAcentral's name for it is "partial 16S ribosomal RNA". It matches the Rfam family "Bacterial small subunit ribosomal RNA", at positions 338 to 795 of the family's 1533-position model. The record is from RNAcentral.
CCUACGGGAGGCAGCAGUAGGGAAUCUUUCACAAUGGGCGAAAGCCUGAUGGAGCAACGCCGCGUGCAGGAUGAAGGCCUUCGGGUUGUAAACUGCUUUUAUAAGCGAGAAAUAUGAUGGUAAGUUAUGAAUAAGGAUCGGCUAACUACUUGCCCGCAUCCGCGGUCAUAUGUAGGCUCCGAGCAUUAUCCGGAGUGACUGGGGGUAAAGAGUGGCGUAGGUGGCAUAAUAAGUAGCUAGGGAAAUCGGGUGGCUCAACCAUUCAGACUAUUAGCUAAACUGUUAAGCUCGAGACCGUUAGGGGUAACUGGAAUGUCUAGUGUAGGAGUGAAAUCCGUAGAUAUUAGACGGAACACCAAGAGCGUAGGCAGGUUGCUGGGACGGUUCUGACACUAAGGCACGAAAGCGUAGGGAGCAAACGGGAUUAGAUACCCUGGUAGUC